GAUGAAGAACGCAGCGAAAUGCGAUAAGUAAUGUGAAUUGCAGAAUUCAGUGAAUCAUCGAAUCUUUGAACGCACAUUGCGCCCCUUGGUAUUCCGAGGGGCAUGCCUGUUCGAGCGUCAUUAUAACCCCUCAAGCUCAGCUUGGUGUUGGGGCCUGCUGCACUGGCAGCCCUUAAAAUCAGUGGCGGCGCCAUCUGGCUCUAAGCGUAGUAAUUCUUCUCGCUAUGGAGUCCUGGUGGAUGCUUGCCAUCAACCCCCAAUUUUUCUAUGGUUCACCUCGGAUCAGGUAGGGAUACCCGCUGAACUUAAGCAUAUCAAUAAGCGGAGGA
Molecule: unclassified non-coding RNA, 329 nt
Filed under: soil metagenome
Description: partial contains 5.8S ribosomal RNA, internal transcribed spacer 2, and large subunit ribosomal RNA
Rfam family: 5.8S ribosomal RNA (bases 1-120)
Source: RNAcentral